UGUCUUCUUCCAUUUAUUACUGAGAUUUCUGGCGCCCCGUUUGGGGCCUGGCACAGCGUCCUGAUGGCCUCAUGCCUAGCUGGGCGGUAAAAGCUUCUGCUGCCAGUGGAUGAGGGCCGCCUAACGAAAUGUCCAAGCUGAACGGGGUCCAAGGCCUGCUGACCAAGCAAGUUUCCAGGCUCGUGCUCACCCCUGUUCCUCCAGCACACCUCUACCUCUGCCGGCUGGGAAAGCGUCUUCCAGGUGCUAACAAGAGAGCUAGUCUGGCCAUAUCACGAGGGGAAGCCGAAGCUCAGCAAAAUCAUUGCCAAGAGCCUGGGCAGGCUGAGGUCAGGUGAUCUUAAGGGCUGACGUGUGCAACCGGCAGAGAGAAAGAACUGGGUAAAACACACAAGUAAAGAGAAGUGCGAGAGGAGAAUCGUCCUGACAGAGAUGAAUUAGUUACGGGGCUAGCUCCCCGGGGUAAGAGCUGCCGCUUGGUUUUCCAACUCCUGAGCAGAAAACGGUGCAGAGGACGGGCGGAGACAAGGAGGGCUGCGGCAACGACCAAUAGGCGCUCCCCACCUCCGAGUCUCAUGAAGCUGAAUGAAGGACCUUGGAUGGAGGAAGAAAUUUUAAAAAAUAAUAGAGUUGGAAAGACUGAGCUGACUAAGGUACUGCAGGGAUCAAGAGGAACAGAGGCUCUGCGCCCUCACGCCGAGUGAGGAAAAUCGUUUCUUCCAGCCAAGAGACGCAGAGCUGAACGGUUCAGAGGUUUGAAUUCAGAGUUCAGGCUCGGCCACUUGGCAGUUGUGUGAACCUGAGACAAUCACUCAGACUUUCUAAGUCGCGAAAUGGGACUAAGAGCCCCAAUUUGUUGGCCAUUUCAAGAUAUGAAAUAAGGCUAACCCCAGUGCAGAGGGUUCUUGUAAAAACUGAAUGAGAGAAUUUGUAAAAACAGUGCCUAGCACGUGGUGUCAUGCUGGACCUGGCACUAGACUCAUCAGUUAUUCAUCAAUAAGGAAGAAGGACAAUGACAUUCAUUUUGACUGUCUGGACACUGUUACUGUAUCAUUUUGGGGGGACGAGUAAUUUCUACCUAUUAAAAGAGGUUGAUUUUAAACUUAAA
Long non-coding RNA from Bubalus bubalis (water buffalo), 1108 nucleotides. RefSeq lists it as uncharacterized. The transcript is spliced from 2 exons. NCBI's taxonomy places the organism in Eukaryota, Metazoa, Chordata, Mammalia, Artiodactyla, Bovidae. The record is from RefSeq and is a predicted model, not a curated record.